This 817-nucleotide ribosomal RNA is filed under the name uncultured bacterium. Its description in RNAcentral is "bacterial SSU rRNA". It matches the Rfam family "Bacterial small subunit ribosomal RNA", at positions 697 to 1512 of the family's 1533-position model. The record is from RNAcentral.
UCAGGAGGAAUACCGGUGGUGUAGACGGCUCUCUGGACCGUAACUGACACUGAGACACGAAAGCGUGGGUAGCAAACAGGAUUAGAUACCCUGGUAGUCCACGCCCUAAACGAUGCAUAUUUGGUGUAGGCAGUUCAUUCUGUCUGUGCCGGAGCUAACGCGUUAAAUAUGCCGCCUGGGGAGUACAGUCGCAAGGCUGAAACUCAAAGGAAUUGACGGGGGCCCGCACAAGCGGUGGAGCAUGUGGUUCAAUUCGACGCAACGCGAAGAACCUUACCUGGGCUCGAACGGCUCACGAACGUCCUUGGAAACAGGGAUUUCCCGCAAGGGACGGGAGUCGAGGUGCUGCAUGGCUGUUGUCAGCUCGUGUCGUGAGAUGUUGGGUUAAGUCCCGCAACGAGCGCAACCCUUGUCCUGUGUUGCCAUCAUUCAGUUGGGAACUCGCAGGAGACCGCCAGCGAUAAGCUGGAGGAAGGUGGGGAUGACGUCAAGUCCUCAUGGCCUUUAUGUCCAGGGCUACACACGUGCUACAAUGGCCGGUACAAUGCGCUGCUAAGUCGCAAGACGGAGCCAAUCGCAAAAAACCGGUCUCAGUUCGGAUUGCAGGCUGCAACUCGCCUGCAUGAAGCUGGAAUCGCUAGUAAUGGCAUAUCAGAACGAUGCCGUGAAUACGUUCCCGGGCCUUGUACACACCGCCCGUCACAUCACGAAAGUGGAUUGUACUAGAAGUCCGCAGGCUGACCCGCAAGGGGAGCAGCGGCCCAAGGUAUGAUUCAUGAUUGGGGUGAAGUCGUAACAAGGUAGCCGUAGGAGAACC